CUUGCACUCUCAUUCACACUAUUCGAGCAAAACCAGAUAGCAUGGCAGAAGCCGGCACGGACACUAGACCAGCCCCAAUGGCAUUUGGCCAUGCCUUAUGAAAUUUAUUUUUAUUGCAUAUAUACGUACUAAAACAUCAGUAGCAUUAUUUGUUGAGUCUAUAUAUGUCACCUCCCACGGAUCAUAACCUCCAAUUAUCGCAUAAUAUAUGGAUUUUACAGUCACAGUACAACCUCUGCUCACUCUUUGCAGAUUCUUAUCGGAGCAUCUGCUUCGCUGGUGUCACAUGGUAUUUUGUCGCAAGAGGCCGGUCUUACAGUUACUGCUAGAGUCUCCACCACCGUCGUAUCAUGUGC
This 356-nucleotide long non-coding RNA is filed under the name Setaria viridis. Its description in RNAcentral is "long non-coding RNA (SVIR_LNC003684)". Lineage: Eukaryota; Viridiplantae; Streptophyta; Magnoliopsida; Poales; Poaceae. The record is from RNAcentral.